This 710-nucleotide ribosomal RNA is filed under the name Salmonella enterica subsp. enterica serovar Newport. RNAcentral describes it as "partial 23S ribosomal RNA". It matches the Rfam family "Bacterial large subunit ribosomal RNA", at positions 2211 to 2915 of the family's 2925-position model. Lineage: Bacteria; Pseudomonadati; Pseudomonadota; Gammaproteobacteria; Enterobacterales; Enterobacteriaceae. The record is from RNAcentral.
UGUUUGAUGUUCUAACGUGGACCCGUUACCCGGGUUGCGGACAGUGUCUGGUGGGUAGUUUGACUGGGGCGGUCUCCUCCUAAAGAGUAACGGAGGAGCACGAAGGUUGGCUAAUCCUGGUCGGACAUCAGGAGGUUAGUGCAAUGGCAUAAGCCAGCUUGACUGCGAGCGUGACGGCGCGAGCAGGUGCGAAAGCAGGUCAUAGUGAUCCGGUGGUUCUGAAUGGAAGGGCCAUCGCUCAACGGAUAAAAGGUACUCCGGGGAUAACAGGCUGAUACCGCCCAAGAGUUCAUAUCGACGGCGGUGUUUGGCACCUCGAUGUCGGCUCAUCACAUCCUGGGGCUGAAGUAGGUCCCAAGGGUAUGGCUGUUCGCCAUUUAAAGUGGUACGCGAGCUGGGUUUAGAACGUCGUGAGACAGUUCGGUCCCUAUCUGCCGUGGGCGCUGGAGAACUGAGGGGGGCUGCUCCUAGUACGAGAGGACCGGAGUGGACGCAUCACUGGUGUUCGGGUUGUCAUGCCAAUGGCACUGCCCGGUAGCUAAAUGCGGAAGAGAUAAGUGCUGAAAGCAUCUAAGCACGAAACUUGCCCCGAGAUGAGUUCUCCCUGAGACUUAGAGUCUCCUGAAGGAACGUUGAAGACGACGACGUUGAUAGGCCGGGUGUGUAAGCGCAGCGAUGCGUUGAGCUAACCGGUACUAAUGAACCGUGAG